CAGCUCUGUGGGUUGCUGAUGGUCCAUGC
This 29-nucleotide non-coding RNA is filed under the name Homo sapiens (human). The record is from RNAcentral. Lineage: Eukaryota; Metazoa; Chordata; Mammalia; Primates; Hominidae.